UCCCGGUUAACCCGGGCAGUCUCAUUAGAGUUCCCAUCCGAAAUGCUGGCAACUAAUGAUAAGGGUUGCGCUCGUUGCGGGACUUAACCCAACACCUCACGGCACGAGCUGACGACAGCCAUGCAGCACCUGUGCAGAGACUCCGAAGAGAGGCAACAUUUCUGUUGCGGUCCUCUGCAUGUCAAAUCUAGGUAAGGUUCUUCGCGUUGCAUCGAAUUAAACCACAUGCUCCACUGCUUGUGCGGGUCCCCGUCAAUUCUUUUGAGUUUCACCCUUGCGAGCGUACUCCCCAGGCGGUAUACUUAUCACGUUAGCUACGGCACAGCCAGGGUUGAGUCCGGCUACACCAAGUAUACAUCGUUUACGGCAAGGACUAC
This 377-nucleotide unclassified non-coding RNA is filed under the name uncultured Parachlamydiaceae bacterium. RNAcentral's name for it is "contains 16S-23S intergenic spacer region". The record is from RNAcentral. Lineage: Bacteria; Pseudomonadati; Chlamydiota; Chlamydiia; Parachlamydiales; Parachlamydiaceae.